RNAcentral lists this long non-coding RNA (686 nucleotides) under Sinocyclocheilus grahami. RNAcentral's name for it is "lncRNA (ENSSGRG00000009651.1)". The record is from RNAcentral. Lineage: Eukaryota; Metazoa; Chordata; Actinopteri; Cypriniformes; Cyprinidae.
UUCCCAGAAGCCCCUGCGCCGCGCGUGCGCAGUCGCGUCAGCAGCAUGGCCGCAGGCAGCAGUGUGGAGUGGCUGAAGAGUGUGAAAGCAGGGAUUUGAGACACGUGUGGAGUUCUGAGAGGGAGGAGGACAGGCCAUACACGGAUCUGGAGAAGGGCCGAGCGUGAGAGCAGACGCUUACAUGCACGACCUCGCGGCCGCCGUACUGACCGAUCACUGACCGAUCAGGACACGACACUCGUGAUUGAUGACGCACUGACUGUGAAGCUGCACUGACACAUGAAGAAAACUGUGAACAUGUGCAAUGCAUUAUAAAGAAUAUCUCGUGAUGUUUGCUGGCGCUCCGGUGAAUCUGCUUCAUGCGGUUUGGUGUCGGAGCUUCGUUCAGGACAAUAGCGUGAUGCUGGCAGACAUGAAGCGCUGCAGAACAAACAGCAUCACGGAGAUCUGGAGCAGAGGUCGAGGCACACAGACGUCUUUGUGUUUCUUACAGCGGCGCUCGUUUCACAUCACGCUCCAGUCUCACUGUGCUCUUCCAGUCGAGGUGUAAUAAAGCUCUGAUGCUGAUGUAAAGCAGACGCUUCUAUUCUAACGCAGCAGAUUCUCCAGGCUCGUUUACGAUCAUAUCUGCUCAUCUAAACAUUAAGGCCACUUUUAACCCUCGCACAUAAAGCUACAGUGAAAUA